GGCCGGUUAACUCAGUUGGUUAGAGCGUGGUGCUAAUAACCCCAAGGUCGCGGGUUCUAUCCCCGUACAGGCCA
Non-coding RNA from Polypterus senegalus (gray bichir), 74 nucleotides. The record is from the annotation of a RefSeq genome assembly. NCBI's taxonomy places the organism in Eukaryota, Metazoa, Chordata, Cladistia, Polypteriformes, Polypteridae.